GAGGGGGAUAACUACUGGAAACGGUAGCUAAUACCGCAUAACGUCGCAAGACCAAAGAGGGGGACCUUCGGGCCUCUUGCCAUCGGAUGUGCCCAGAUGGGAUUAGCUAGUAGGUGGGGUAACGGCUCACCUAGGCGACGAUCCCUAGCUGGUCUGAGAGGAUGACCAGCCACACUGGAACUGAGACACGGUCCAGACUCCUACGGGAGGCAGCAGUGGGGAAUAUUGCACAAUGGGCGCAAGCCUGAUGCAGCCAUGCCGCGUGUAUGAAGAAGGCCUUCGGGUUGUAAAGUACUUUCAGCGGGGAGGAAGGGAGUAAAGUUAAUACCUUUGCUCAUUGACGUUACCCGCAGAAGAAGCACCGGCUAACUCCGUGCCAGCAGCCGCGGUAAUACGGAGGGUGCAAGCGUUAAUCGGAAUUACUGGGCGUAAAGCGCACGCAGGCGGUUUGUUAAGUCAGAUGUGAAAUCCCCCGG
This 476-nucleotide ribosomal RNA is filed under the name Escherichia coli. RNAcentral's name for it is "bacterial SSU rRNA". It matches the Rfam family "Bacterial small subunit ribosomal RNA", at positions 136 to 607 of the family's 1533-position model. The record is from RNAcentral. Lineage: Bacteria; Pseudomonadati; Pseudomonadota; Gammaproteobacteria; Enterobacterales; Enterobacteriaceae.